CGAGAACGCUCCUUCGGGAGCAAGUAAAGUGGCGAACGGGUGAGUAACGCGUAGACAACCUGCCCUCUAGUGGGGGAUAACCACGGGAAACUGUGGCUAAUACCGCACGACAUCUUCGACCCGCAUGGGUCCUGGAUCAAAGCCUUCGGGCGCUAGAGGAUGGGUCUGCGUCGGAUUAGCUUGUUGGUGAGGUAAAAGCUCACCAAGGCUACGAUCCGUAACUGGUCUGAGAGGAUGAUCAGUCACACUGGCACUGAGACACGGGCCAGACUCCUACGGGAGGCAGCAGUGGGGAAUCUUAGGCAAUGGGGGAAACCCUGACCUAGCCAUGCCGCGUGGAGGAAGACACCCCUACGGGGCGUAAACUCCUUUUCUGUCGGAAGAAAACCCUGUUUUGCAGGGCGUGACGGUACGGCAGGAAUAAGCACCGGCUAACUCCGUGCCAGCAGCCGCGGUAAUACGGAGGGUGCAAGCGUUGUCCGGAAUCACUGGGCGUAAAGGGUGUGCAGGUGGGACAGCAAGUCAGAGGUGAAAGCCCGCGGCUCAACCGUGGAAGUGCCUUUGAAACUGCUGUUCUUGAGUCCUGGAGAGGUUGCUGGAAUUCGUGGUGUAGCGGUGAAAUGCGUAGAUAUCACGAGGAACACCAGAGGCGAAAGCGAGCAACUGGACAGGUACUGACGCUGAGGCACGAGAGCGUGGGGAGCAAACAGGAUUAGAUACCCUGGUAGUCCACGCCGUAAACGAUGAACGUUCGCCGUUGUCCCAUUAGUGGGCAGUGGCUAAGCUAACGCGUUAAACGUUCCGCCUGGGGAGUACGACCGCAAGGUUGAACUCAAAGGAAUUGACGGGGCCCGCACAAGCGGUGGAGCAUGUGGCUUAUUCGAUGCACGCGAAGACCUUACUAGGCUCGACGCUAGAUGGCACUCCGAAAGAUCUCCGUAAGGCAUCUAGCGAGUGCUGCUGCUGCGUC
RNAcentral lists this ribosomal RNA (970 nucleotides) under uncultured bacterium. RNAcentral's name for it is "bacterial SSU rRNA". It matches the Rfam family "Bacterial small subunit ribosomal RNA", at positions 67 to 1053 of the family's 1533-position model. The record is from RNAcentral.